AAGGUCCCAAAUUACUACUAAGUGGGAAACGAUGUGGGAAGGCUCAGACAGCCAGGAUGUUGGCUUAGAAGCAGCCAUCAUUUAAAGAAAGCGUAAUAGCUCACUGGUCGAGUCGGCCUGCGCGGAAGAUGUAACGGGGCUAAGUAGUAAACCGAAGCUGCGGCAAUGUGCUUUUGCACAUUGGGUAGGGGAGCGUUCUGUAAGCGGUUGAAGGUGUGUGGUAACGCAUGCUGGACGUAUCAGAAGUGCGAAUGCUGACAUGAGUAACGAUAAAGGGGGUGAAAAACCUCCUCGCCGGAAGACCAAGGGUUCCUGUCCAACGUUAAUCGGGGCAGGGUAAGUCGACCCCUAAGGCGAGGCCGAAAGGCGUAGUCGAUGGGAAACGGGUUAAUAUUCCCGUACUUCUUACAAUUGCGAUGGGGGGACGGAGAAGGCUAGGUGGGCCUGGCGACGGUUGUCCAGGUUCAAGUGCGUAGGCUUAAGAGUUAGGUAAAUCCGGCUCUUUUUAAGGCUGAGACACGACGUCGAGCACCUACGGGUGUGAAGUCAUUGAUGCCAUGCUUCCAGGAAAAGCCUCUAAGCUUCAGAUUGUAAGGAAUCGUACCCCAAACCGACACAGGUGGUCGGGUAGAGAAUACCAAGGCGCUUGAGAGAACUC
RNAcentral lists this ribosomal RNA (658 nucleotides) under Vibrio parahaemolyticus. RNAcentral describes it as "partial 23S ribosomal RNA". It matches the Rfam family "Bacterial large subunit ribosomal RNA", at positions 1041 to 1701 of the family's 2925-position model. Lineage: Bacteria; Pseudomonadati; Pseudomonadota; Gammaproteobacteria; Vibrionales; Vibrionaceae. The record is from RNAcentral.